CAUUACAGAAGGAUAUCGCCCUCGGGCUUCUCUUCUCACCCUUUGUUUACCACACGUAGUUGCCUUGGCGCUCCGCGCCAGUGGAUCGAAACUCCUGAAUCAUUGCCGUCUGAGUACUAUUCAAUCGUUAAAACUUUCAACAACGGAUCUCUUGGUUCUGGCAUCGAUGAAGAACGCAGCGAAAUGCGAUAAGUAAUGUGAAUUGCAGAAUUCAGUGAAUCAUCGAAUCUUUGAACGCACAUUGCGCCCUCCGGUAUUCCGGGGGGCAUGCCUGUUCGAGCGUCAUUACAACCCUCAAGCUCUGCUUGGUGUUGAGCCCGCCCCGGCCUGCCCGGGGCUCGCUUCAAAGUCAGUGGCGGCCGCCGUCCGACCUUCAGCGCAGUAAUGCUCGCCGCUGUUAGGGAAGGGUAGCCAGGGCCGUCAGACAACCCCCACACACAAGGUUGACCUCGGAUCAGGUAGGGAUACCCGCUGAACUUAAGCAUAUCAAUAAGCGGAGGAAAAGAAACCAACAGGGAUUGCCUCAGUAACGGCGAGUGAAGCGGCAACAGCUCAAAUUUGAAAGCUGGCUCCUUCGGGGCCCGCGUUGUAAUUUGUAGAGGAUGCUUCGGGCGCGGCGCCGGUCUAAGUUCUCUGGAACGAGACGUCAUAGAGGGUGAGAAUCCCGUAUGUGACUGGCCGCCUGUGCCCAUGUGAAGCUCCUUCGACGAGUCGAGUUGUUUGGGAAUGCAGCUCAAAAUGGGAGGUGUACUCCUUCUAAAGCUAAAUAUUGGCCGGAGACCGAUAGCGCACAAGUAGAGUGAUCGAAAGAUGAAAAGCACUUUGGAAAGAGAGUUAAACAGUACGUGAAAUUGUUGAAAGGGAAGCGCUUGCAAUCAGACUUGCGCGGCGUCGAUCAGCCUGGGUUCUCCCUGGUGCACUCGGCGCCGCUCAGGCCAGCAUCAGUUUCGGCGGUGGGAUAAAGGCCUAGGGA
This 973-nucleotide ribosomal RNA is filed under the name Leotiomycetes sp. genotype csw021. RNAcentral's name for it is "eukaryotic LSU rRNA". The stretch from base 445 to 973 matches the Rfam family "Eukaryotic large subunit ribosomal RNA", at positions 1 to 533 of the family's 3401-position model. The record is from RNAcentral. Lineage: Eukaryota; Fungi; Ascomycota; Leotiomycetes.